CAGGAAGUGAAACCCACAGGUUCUGUGGCUCUGCAGUGCCCUCUCUAGGAUGCUUUUGUGGAUGUGCAGUGGCUCAAGGUGCAGCAGGUGAUUCUGUAGAAAGGAGUUUCUCCAAUAAAGCAGAGCUUCUCUUUCAACUCCAUGGACAUCAGAGAGAGUCCCUUUCAAAAAAGGAGGCUCAGGUCUGGAGAGACAAAGGCCUCUACUUUCGAAAAGGCCUCUUGGAUCAAGCCCAGACCCUCAUCAGAGCUGACAACAUGUCCAGCCUGCACUACUGCAAGAACUUCUUUGUCUAUGGUAGUGUGGUCAACUGAAGAAGCCGGCUUAGUUGCUCCAGUCAGGUGCUCACACUAAGAAAGGAUGGGUGAAGGUUAUAAAGUGGCUGUGAAUGAGAACUCGGUCUGGGCUCUACCAAGCAGAGAAGCCAUGCAGAGAUGAGAAAGGUGAAAGCCAUGAAACCAUGUUAAGCAGAAAAAUAAAAAUUCAAAAC
Molecule: long non-coding RNA, 490 nt
Filed under: Homo sapiens (human)
Lineage: Eukaryota; Metazoa; Chordata; Mammalia; Primates; Hominidae
Description: long intergenic non-protein coding RNA 2156
Source: RNAcentral